AUGCGUUGUUGGGUAGGGGAGCGUUCUGUAAGCCUGCGAAGGUGUACUGUGAGGUAUGCUGGAGGUAUCAGAAGUGCGAAUGCUGACAUAAGUAACGAUAAAGCGGGUGAAAAGCCCGCUCGCCGGAAGACCAAGGGUUCCUGUCCAACGUUAAUCGGGGCAGGGUGAGUCGACCCCUAAGGCGAGGCCGAAAGGCGUAGUCGAUGGGAAACAGGUUAAUAUUCCUGUACUUGGUGUUACUGCGAAGGGGGGACGGAGAAGGCUAUGUUGGCCGGGCGACGGUUGUCCCGGUUUAAGCGUGUAGGCUGGUUUUCCAGGCAAAUCCGGAAAAUCAAGGCUGAGGCGUGAUGACGAGGCACUACGGUGCUGAAGCAACAAAUGCCCUGCUUCCAGGAAAAGCCUCUAAGCAUCAGGUAACAUCAAAUCGUACCCCAAACCGACACAGGUGGUCAGGUAGAGAAUACCAAGGCGCUUGAGAGAACUCGGGUGAAGGAACUAGGCAAAAUGGUGCCGUAACUUCGGGAGAAGGCACGCUGAUAUGUAGGUGAAGUCCCUCGCGGAUGGAGCUGAAAUCAGUCGAAGAUACCAGCUGGCUGCAACUGUUUAUUAAAAACACAGCACUGUGCAAACACGAAAGUGGACGUAUACGGUGUGACGCCUGCCCGGUGCCGGAAGGUUAAUUGAUGGGGUUAGCGCAAGCGAAGCUCUUGAUCGAAGCCCCGGUAAACGGCGGCCGUAACUAUAACGGUCCUAAGGUAGCGAAAUUCCUUGUCGGGUAAGUUCCGACCUGCACGAAUGGCGUAAUGAUGGCCAGGCUGUCUCCACCCGAGACUCAGUGAAAUUGAACUCGCUGUGAAGAUGCAGUGUACCCGCGGCAAGACGGAAAGACCCCGUGAACCUUUACUAUAGCUUGACACUGAACAUUGAGCCUUGAUGUGUAGGAUAGGUGGGAGGCUUUGAAGUGUGGACGCCAGUCUGCAUGGAGCCGACCUUGAAAUACCACCCUUUAAUGUUUGAUGUUCUAACGUGGACCCGUGAUCCGGGUUGCGGACAGUGUCUGGUGGGUAGUUUGACUGGGGCGGUCUCCUCCUAAAGAGUAACGGAGGAGCACGAAGGUUGGCUAAUCCUGGUCGGACAUCAGGAGGUUAGUGCAAUGGCAUAAGCCAGCUUGACUGCGAGCGUGACGGCGCGAGCAGGUGCGAAAGCAGGUCAUAGUGAUCCGGUGGUUCUGAAUGGAAGGGCCAUCGCUCAACGGAUAAAAGGUACUCCGGGGAUAACAGGCUGAUACCGCCCAAGAGUUCAUAUCGACGGCGGUGUUUGGCACCUCGAUGUCGGCUCAUCACAUCCUGGGGCUGAAGUAGGUCCCAAGGGUAUGGCUGUUCGCCAUUUAAAGUGGUACGCGAGCUGGGUUUAGAACGUCGUGAGACAGUUCGGUCCCUA
RNAcentral lists this ribosomal RNA (1440 nucleotides) under Escherichia coli. RNAcentral describes it as "partial 23S ribosomal RNA". It matches the Rfam family "Bacterial large subunit ribosomal RNA", at positions 1216 to 2640 of the family's 2925-position model. Lineage: Bacteria; Pseudomonadati; Pseudomonadota; Gammaproteobacteria; Enterobacterales; Enterobacteriaceae. The record is from RNAcentral.